Camellia sinensis is the source of this 787-nucleotide long non-coding RNA. RefSeq lists it as uncharacterized. NCBI's taxonomy places the organism in Eukaryota, Viridiplantae, Streptophyta, Magnoliopsida, Ericales, Theaceae. The record is from RefSeq and is a predicted model, not a curated record.
UUGGAUUUUGGUUGAUUUUUGGGUUGCGGGUGGGUUAUGAGUUUGAAUCACACCUGUCCAACCCGCUCGUAUUAACUUUUUUUUUUUCAAAUCUGAACCGUUCAUCUUCACUUCAUCUAUACCCAAACAAACAAAUAACCCAAACCCUAAUCUAAUCACUUAAACUACUGCGCAAUUCUUCUUUCUUUCCUCUCAUCUCAUUAGUCUCUCAUUCUCUCGUUUUUUAUCUGGACCGAUCAACCUCACAAGAUCGACUCUCUCUCAUCACAAGAUUGACCAAUCGACCUCACUCUCUCAUCGCAUCGAUCGACCUCGCAAGAUCAAAUCUCUCUCCAAUAACUCUCAGGUAUGUGUCUCUCUGUCUCUGUCUCCCUCUCUCAUCGAUCUCUGAUUUUUCUUAUGGGCAUUCAGUUCUGUGUCUCUCAUUCUUCCAUCUCUCUCUCUGUGUCAACCGGCGAAGAGACCGAUUGACCUUCGCAAGAUCAACUCUGCCCUAUAACUCAUAGGUUCAUCAACCAAAUGCAUGGAACUGAAAUUUUUGGAACUUAGAUGUGAUUCAUAAUGAUGGAGUUUGAGAUAUUGUGUUGCAAAUGUUUUUAUUUUUUAUGACAACAAUCUUAUUUUAUUUUUCUUAUUGCAUUUUCAUUUUGGAUGAAUGUAAUAGUUAAUGAAGUUUGUUUGACAAUAAUUUUAUUUUAUUUUAUGUCAUUUUAUUAUUGCAUUUUGGAUGAAUGUAAUAGUUAAUGAAGAAUUACUUUUAGGUAAACUUAGGAUUUUGAAUAUUUUA